Molecule: small nucleolar RNA, 86 nt
Organism: Malus domestica (apple)
Lineage: Eukaryota; Viridiplantae; Streptophyta; Magnoliopsida; Rosales; Rosaceae
Product: small nucleolar RNA U31b
Source: RefSeq, a predicted model, not a curated record
GAAAAUGAUGAUACUGUUGUCGCCCCAGUCUUACUUGCAUUUUACAAUGGAUGCAAGAUGGUGAUAGACAUACUUAUAUCUGAUUC